UGGGGAGCUAAGGAUGGGAUGCGUGGUGUAGAUAGAGCAGCCAAGGAGGUUUUCAAGAUGUCUGAGCGGGUUGUCGGUGAGGUUGGUGGGCAGGGAGAAAGGGAGGAAGGCGAGGUUAUCCCUACUCGAGGUCUUGGGAAAUCCACUGUGCCUUUUGAGGUUGAUUACGAGGACAAGUCUUUUAAUCCUGAGAGUAAGCGCUUGCUCCUUAGUUUGUUUUGUCUGUACUUAAUUUCUACUUUGCUAUGCUUUGACGUGCCUUUCUUUUGACAGAGUAUGAAAAAUCAGUUAGGCGUUUCGAGCAAAAGGACUUAGCUAGGAUGUCAGCUACCAUUGGAUACAAGGUAUUUUGUUCGACGCUUGCUAUUUGUUUCUUAUCUCUCUUUUUUUACGAGGCUUUUCAUUUUGGUGUUUCGAUUUUGCAGUCCAUCAUCCUUGGGAAGAUGCUAUGGAGAAGGCUGCGGCUAAGGAAAAGAGCAUGCUGGCCGAGAGCACAAAGAUGAUGCAGCUAGAGGCUAGAGUUGCAAAGCUUGAGGAGGAAAGCAAGGUUUUAUAUGCCUUGAAGAACGAGCUCGCCGAUUCUAACUCUGACCUUAAAAAGAACAACGUGCUGCUAACAAAUACCUACAGCGAGCUCGUGCAGCAAGUUGAGAAGCUGGAAAAAAGACCCGAAGACAAUCUUGGUGUUUUGGAGAAACUCCGAAGCGCCACAGAAAAAGACGUACAGACUAUCACAGAGCAGGAAAAAAUGAUUCAUACCCUUGGUCAGGAUCUCAAAGAGCAAAAGACCUUUGUUGUGGAAGCAGAGCGGGCUCUCAAGGAAAAGUUCGUUGAGAUCUAUGAGGUGUACAAAACUGCUCUUGCAAAGUUUGGCGCAGAGCCUCUUUUGUUUCUGGGUGAUGAAAGUGUAAAAGAAAUAUUUGAUUGGGUGGAAGAGGAGUUCAAAGGCCUGCCCGAGGUUAUUACUGGUAGCAGCAACUUUGCUGCUUCCUUCUGCCUUGAUAGCGCAUUUCAACUCCUUGAAAAGAACAGCUACUCUCAUUUCUUAACACUCGCGGCUCGCACCUAUAUGUUCCCCUCGGCCUCGGAGCUUGAUGAAGAGGAGAAAUCUAAAAAUUUGAGAGCCACGAAGAUAAAUUUCUUCAAACAGCUUUGGGCUACCUCCGGGCGAGAGUACACAAGGCUGGUUGCUCAAGAGCGGCUUGCACAGGUUAGGGUUCACAUAACUUUGUAUUUCAUAAGGUUUGCAUUUUUUCUGUUGAUUUCCUGAUGUUGUUCCUCUUGUGUUCGUAGGCCAAGGCAUAGGAAGCAAAAGGCGAAGGUGGGAGCGAGAACGAUGAUGCUGAUCAAGGAGGGCAGUGAUUAUCGAAGCUAGUUAGAGAUUUGUUUUGUGGUUUGGGAUGUUUUGAUAAACUUGAUACUUAGUUGGCUGCUUUUGCGGGCCAGAUUGUAAAUAUUUGUUGCUCAGCCGGAACUUACAUGCUCGAAGCUGGUUACUUUUGGCGUUUGUACCUUCACAGAUUUCUUUUUAUCUUAACGUUUUUAUGUUUGAGUUAUUCUACUCAAAUGGCAACAAAGCUGUAGCUUAAAGAAAUGAGCAAUGUUUUAGUUUAAAACGUCACCCCUGCCCUAGUUUCUUUAUGCGUAGGUUUUUGUUGACUUUGCACGCUUGUUGUCUAAGCUUAAACGGAGCUUAAAAACGUCACCCCCUUCUUGGCACGUGGGUCUUACCCGAGGCAAUUGUCUCAUGGAAAGAGGAUGAAAAUGAUUUUUGUUUGCCAAAAAAUGUCACCCCCGCCCUUUUAUCCUUUUUCCGAAAAAACAUCCAACCUCGCCCUUUUCUUUUGCAUGAACGAGGUUAAGUGAGUAUUGACAAACCACAAGAUAAGUCAAUAGAGAAGUUGUUUUCGAGUUAUGUUGACUUAAAAAUAUGAUAGUUUGGUUGAAAUCGCAACCCUUAGGAUGUGUUUGGUUGGGCUGUGGCUUUUCAGAAAGCUGCUGUGAGCUAUGGGCUGUAGAAAAGCAGCUGUGAGAAAGCAGCUGUGGGAAAAGUAUAAGGCCGUUUGGUUAGAGCAGAUGUGGCUUUUGAAUAAAUUUUCGCGUCGACCCUGCAUGUCAUCCACAGUCCACCCCACUCAACUCUCUCCCUCGCUCACUGACGAGCGGGUCUAACCCUUCUUCUUCCUCCCGCUGGCUUGUCCACCCCAUAGGACCCCGAGUAGCACCAGGGCCGCAACGGCAUCCACGAUGAUGCAGUCCACAAUCAGGGCGAGGUCCAUGACGGCGAUGGCCUGCGCCUCACCUCCUCCACCUUGCACCACGUGGCAGGCACCGUAGCACCACCGGCAUCUAGGAGGCAGUGGCACCCCGCGGGCACGCAUGCGUCGACAUAGAGGUUGAGGCUAGUCUGUGCCGCCAAGAGCCCGCCGCCCGCGCAGGCGAGCCCCGCCUCCAUGGUGCCCUUCGGCGCGGAGGCGGAGAGUGAUGAGGAGAGGGAUGCCAUGGCAGCGGCGAGGAGGAGGAGACGCGCGAUGAUGAGUGUGUGCUGCUGGAGGUCGGAGGCCGGGAGCGAGACGGCAAGGAGGCCUGCGGCAUGGUCGAGGAGGAGGAACGACAGGGAGAGGAGGAGCGGGAGGUGGGGCGGGAGGAAUGGGAGGAGCGGUGGGAGGAGCAGCAGUGGGAGGAGCAUCAUGGAAGCCAGUGGGAGGAAGGCGAACAGGAGCACGAGGAGUAGCGGGAGGAGGCAGAGGAGCGGGUGGCGGAACAGGCGGAGGAGGUGGUGGUGGAGGGAGGACGGGGAGAGGUAGGAGACGGCGGCAAUGAGGUGGUGGGACUGGGAGGUCGCGAGGAGGGAGAAUAUAACGGCAAGGUGGCACGCGAGCAGCAGCGCCUCCGACAUUGUUGUUGGGCAGCGCGGUCGGGGAAGUCCCGAGGAGGAGGAGCACCAGGCGGCGGGCCACUAAGGUGAUGGUCGGGUGGAGGGACUGGUGCGGGUGAUGGGGAGUGGACGGGAAUAGAAGGGGAAAACGAACCGUUAUCCUCCAUAACAAGUGGUAGGUGGGUAAUUUUUUGUCCCAAAAGCAGCUAAAAGCAGGGGGGAAGGUGCUUUUGAUUUUGGGCAAAAGCACGUAUGGCUUUGGGCAAAAGCACGUAUGGCUUUGGGCAAAAGCACGUAUGGCUUUUAGGCCCUUUGGUUGGCUUUUGGCUUUUGCAAAAGCAAAAGUAGGUUGGAAAGUCCAACCAAAGGCACCCUUAGUUGCUUCAACCAUGAAAUUUUGCGAGGUUGAGAAAAUAGGGAAAUAGGGUGCCUUUUUUGAAAAAAUGUCAGUCUUUCUAUUCUAUUGUGAGAGCUUUGGCUGAGGCUAGGGCCUUCGUGCGAAAGGACAAAAUGAAUUUUCGACUCUGAAAAACGUCACCCCCCUUGUCCUUUUGCGCAGAGGGGGUUUAGACUCAGCAUGGCUUAUUCCAAGUGUUAUCUCUGCCUUUGAUCGCUUGCUGCAGCCUUUCUAUUCUCUGAGUUGCAAGUUCAAGGCCAAUCACUGUGGUGUUUGAGUGAGAAACUACGUUUAUGUGCAUAUAGUGUGCGUUCAAUGUUAGACUAUGCAGCUUAUUGCUACUUUAAAAUAUCUUGCGCAGAAACGUAGGUUUUCAACACGCAGAAACGUGAGGUUAGGCAAGUUGUUGUUGCAUCUGAGACUUGUGCAGACACGCAAGUUUUCAAUGCACAGAAACUCGAGGUUAGGCAACUUGUUGUUGCAUCUAAGACAAAGAUCAUAGGGGGAACUUCAUUUCAUUGAAUAAUGGAAAUUUUACAAGGAUCUACCUCUUCCGACAUGGUUGCCUCUUUGGCCACUUCUGAAAUUGGGUUGAUGUUGGUGGUAUCGGUUCUGGUUUUGGCCUUGGUUUUGGUUUUGGGUUUGGUUUUUGAACGAGGGUUGGUUAUCCUUGAUGGCCAGCAGUUAGUUUGGGUGCGAGUGGUGCUGUUGUUGGUGACUGUAUCACGAAGCUUGCCAGUUUUGACCUUUCUCUGCUUGCCUUUGGCGGUUUCUUUCCACGACCCUUCUUCUAUGGUCUUCAUCUGAUCUGCAAUAUUUAUCCAUCUCUUCGAACAGGGCUUCCAUUCUUUUUGGCUUUUUCCUUGAUAGCUUCGAGGCUGUUGGCCUCGGAUUAAGCCCCUUGAUGCAGAUCUCUAUGGCCAUGCUAUCCUCCACAUCUGGGGUUUGUGUCUUAAGUUGGACAAAUCUUCUCACGUAGCUUGCUAAAGGCUCUUUAUCUUUUUGCACACAAUUGAACAAAUCCCCCUCAUCAGUCAUGGCUCUAUGAAAGCCUUGAAAGUUUUGUAUCAGUUUGGUUUUAAGAUCGACCCAGCUGUAUACAGAUUGCAGCAGGAGUAGAGAGUACCAAUUUAGUGCUGCACCCUCGCACGCUAUAAUGAAUGACUUUGCCAAUACUACAUCAUCUCCCCCUGCCGAGGCUAUGGCUGUUUCAUAACUCAUGAGGAACUAGCGGGGAUCUAUUUGUCCAUUGAACUUUGGUAGUGCAACUGCCUUGUAGGUUGUGGGCCAUGGGGCUGUUUGCAGGCCUAAGGACAAUGGGGAGAUUUUGUCGGUAGUUGUGAAUGCGCUCAUUGUCACUCUGGUGUUGUGCCCAACGAGGCUAGGAUUCGGGUAUAUGAUGGGUGUGUCAUUGGUGUUGAAGGUUUGAAGUGGUGGCUGCUGCGGCUGUUGCGGUGUGUUACACAAGUAUUCCAAUUCGUUCAACUCUUGCUGCAACUCUGCCAGCUGCCUUUUGGCCUCAUUUAGCCUCACUAGCUUGUUGGUUGCUAGUCUUUGAGCCUGAAGCUCUUGAGCAAAUUUUUCUUUUUCUUUUUUAAUGCCUCUAGCUGCUUGAGUGCCGAGGCCAGCUCUUCUUCUAUUUCACUAAGGGGUUCAUCUUGCGUGCUUGUUUGCGGCAGAGUUUGGUUCGAGGUCCCCGCCUCAACCAUGCCUAUCUGUGAUCUUGUUCUUAAAUUAGCCUCGAUUCUUUUAAACUUUUUCUGCCUUCUCCGUGUUAACUUGUUUGACUGAGACAAGCUGCCUUUCUUGAACAGCCUCAUCUUCGAUGGUUCUCUUCUUCUUUUGAGGUGGCAUCGUGGGUUUCUUAGUGGCUCAGAAUACGGUGGGUGCCAAUGUUCGGAAACAAGCUUGAGGAAGGCUCAAAAACAACGAGGUUUGAGUAGCACAUUAUCAUGGCUCGGGCGGCCGGAGUGAGGUGGAUCGGGUGGAUCAAGGCUACGGCAUAGCACAUUAUCAUGGCUCGGGCGGCCGGAGCAAGAACACGAGCUGGCCGACCGUAGAGGGAAGUCGCAAGCGGCACUCGCAGAAUCUACGUGGCUCCCCUUGGUCGUUCUUUGUCUCAUCCUAUGGGUAUUGUGGAGGCACGGCGCCAGGCUGGCGGCACGGUGUAGCCUCAAUUCAGAACAUUCCUAGCCAGGGCGUGGGCGAGGGCGAUUGGUUGCUCAACCUGAUGAGAACUUGGGUGGGUGCUCCUACAUGGGAGAGAAUAGGGUGAUGGAUGAGAAUGCAGAUGAGGGACGGGGCUAGACGAGGGGUAGGUUGGAGACAUGUUUUCAUUGUUGUCCUCUUAGCGUCAAGAUGAGAGGUGAGAUGAGAUACCGGUAGGACCUGCUCUUACCAUGGCACUUCAGCAACCCCACCCCAACCCCGCGCGCAAGUCAAAAUUUGAGGACCAUAUGUACAAUACGUGUGCAAACAAAACCAUAAUUUUACUAGUAUUGAGGAUUUUAGUUAUUUCUUCUAAAAAAUCUCUUGGGAAAUCGUAUUUUUGUAGUACAACAUAUAUAGAAAAUAAGUAUUGCUCACAAAUAAACUGCCCUAUUCUUGGUUUUUGUUAUUAUUUUAUUUAAUCUUAAGAUUUAUAUAUGCAUAAAAAAGUAAUUUAGUAUCUUCAAAUAUGGAAACGUGGUCUUAGGAAUAGGGCUCAUAUUUUAUUCUUGAGCAUGCCUAGUGGAAAAAUACUAUCUAAAAAACUGCAAAGAAAUUUAAUACCUAAGCCUUCGAUCCACUCUACUUUUUGUAUACUAGUUUACCUGCAAUCCACUGGCUUGCACAUUAUAUUUCAUCAUACGGAAAUGUCUGAGAUUGUGAACGGAAGCAAUUUCAUCUGUCUGCAACAUGUGACACCCAGAGCUCCUGACACAACCGCGUGAGCACCUUCUCCGACAUGCGCACAUGAUGACCGCAUGCACCCAUAUUAUACAUAGUUUAUUAUAGUUUCUGCAGGGAUAUGAUAAUCAUUAAUUAUUACUUGUAAAGAUUGGAAACGUUACAAACGAUUGUAGAAAAAAUGCGAGUCACCAGGAAGGUAGGUAGUAGAGCAUGCCGUCAGUGUCUUUCCUGUGACCUGUGUUCGUGGUGCACAUGGCAGAAUGCACAGUCUAUACAUAGGAACCAGAAGUUGGCUUCGAAACCAAAUCACUCAUUAGUCCUUCAGUACUGCAGUGAACGCUAUCUAGCUAGCUAAUUUCCCCUUGAAAUCAGUUUUCUUGCGUGGCCAUGGGUAGCCUUCCACUUGAAGCCAUGAUGCCACUGAACCCCGAUUCAUUCGCUGGGGAGUCCAGUGCCGUGGUCGACUUCCUCGCCGACUACUACCGCAACGUCGAUAAGUAUCCGGUCAUGGCCAACACCCAGCCAGGGACCAUCCGUAAGCUUCUUCCGGAGGCAGCCCCGGAGUUGGGCGACUCCAUGGAUCGCAUACUGGAUGAUGUGCAGCGGGAUAUCCUCCCCGGCCUCACACAUUGGCAGAGCCCUAGCUUCUUUGCCUAUUUCCCGGCGAAUGCAAGCACCGCAGGGUUCGCCGGGGAGAUGUUGUCGGCUGGUCUCAACGUCGUCCCGUUCGUCUGGACGGCGUCACCGGUGGCCACUGAGCUGGAGCAGGUCGUGGUUGACUGGAUGGCUAGCCUCCUCGGCCUACCGGAGCGCUUCCACUUCAAGGGAGGAGGAGGCGGUGUCCUGCAUGGGAGCACGUGCGAGGCGGUGGUGUGCACCCUCGCUGCCGCGCGCGACCGUGCACUCAGCAAGCUCGGACAUGAGGGCAUCCUCAAGCUUGUCGUGUAUGCCUCGGACCAGACCCACGCAACCUUCCAGAAGGGCGCGAGCAUCGUCGGCAUCCCUCCAGCAAACUUCCGCAUCCUGCGGACUUCGGCAAACUCGGGAUACGGCCUCACCGCCACCAUCGUCCAAAGAGCAAUCGAGGAAGACGUCGCCCGCGGGCUGGUUCCCCUUUACCUCUGCGCCACCGUCGGCACUACUGGUCUGGGGGCCAUUGACCGAGUGCGCGAGCUCGGCCAUGUUGCCCGGCGUUAUGGUAAUUCAUUCAACCUCCCUCUCUUAUACGCUAAUCACCCAUACGGUGACACUAAAUACGUAGAAAUGGAAUGCGCUAUGCGGUCACAAGUCACGAUUCAUGCUCACUUAACAAUCAACAAUCAGUUCCUAUAACCAUCUGACAAGAAUACAUGUUUUACAGGAACCUGGCUGCACAUCGACGCAGCCUACGCCGGAAGCGCAGCCAUUUGCCCGGAGUUCCAAGGUCACCUCGACGGCGCCGAGCUCGCGGACUCGGUGAGCAUGAACCCACAUAAGUGGUUCCUCACCAACAUGGACUGCUGCUGCCUCUGGGUGGCGAACCCUACCACCAUGACCGACGCACUGUCCACUGACCCGGAGUACCUCAAGAAUGUCGGCACCGCGUCUAAGAUGGCGGAAACGGUCGACUACAAGGACUGGCAGAUCGCGCUGUCACGCCGCUUCCGUGCCAUCAAACUCUGGGUGGUGCUACGGCGCUAUGGAGCGGCGGGAAUGCGCGCGCACAUACGGAGGCACAUCCAGAUGGCAGAGUGGUUCGAGCACGUCGUGGCGGCGGACGAGCGGUUUGAGGUCGUGGUGCCAAGGAACUUCUCCUUGGUGUGCUUCCGCCUCCGCCCGCGGUUCAUGGCGGAUAAAGCUGUGGAGGCCCUGAACCGCGACCUCCUCGCAGCGGUGAAUGCAAGCGGCCGGGCGUUCAUGACGCACUUCGUCGUGGACGACAAGUUUGUGAUCCGCCUAGCCGUGGGUGGGUCAAUGACAGAGAUGCGGCACGUCCGGGCCGCGUGGGAGCUUCUCAAGGAGAAGGCCAACGACUUGAUCGCCACCGGUUGUUAGUUAUUGCUCAUUGCUAGUGCUAUACCAUGCAUGGCCAGCAACAGAAGCUGAGCAUUCUAUUAUUGCUUCCAUUCGUAGUUAGAGCACACCAUGAAUGCAAUAGUCAAUCCAUCUGAACCAUGAACAUUCACUAUGACCAUGUAUGCGACACAAUAUACAUAAGUGCUACUGCCGAUAUUGGAUUCUAUUUCUGGAGAAGCGGCUGCUUCUACGGAGCAGGCCGAUUGAAUUUUAAGUAUGUUAUGAUACUUGUAAAAAAUCGAUGCUAGGCAUGGAUUCCUGGAAGGGGCCCGUCACAACUCACAAUGGAAGGGACCCGUCAUAACCAAGCUCGUUAAUACAAAAGAAACGUCAGGCGAAACAAAUGGACGCUAAGCCACACACCUGAACAAAUUUUACCCGAAAUUUGCAACACGUCAAGAAUGCUUAUCACUCAACCGUCUCACAUCUCUUUUGUUUAAGGAAACCAGGCUCGUUACUACAAAAUGAACACCAAGAUGAUAGAGCUCUUUUACGAUACACAAUACUACUACUUAGUAGUAUAUAGUAUAUAUAUAAGAUCUAACUGUUUAUUAUUAUGGAUAAUUUAGUAAUUAUUACAAUGUAAAAAGUGAUAUUUCAAAUAGAAUGGUCUUUUAAACUUUCUGCUAGUAUCAAAAAUAAAAUUAUAGUGGUGCCAUUUGUGUUUUCUUACCAUGAUACCCUUAUACUACCUAUACUACUCAUGUACGACAUAAGUGAAUAACAAAGGCAGUGCCAAAGCGAAUAAAGAGAGUAUUAAACUUUAUUACAUGAAAAUUGUCACAAUAAUGUCAUCCACAUAUAUAAGCAUGAAAAUUGUGACACCUCCUUUUGAAUAAAUAAAUAGCGACAUAUCUGAUUUUGAAGCUUUGAACCCAAGAUCAUACAACUUUGAGCUGAGCCGAGCAUACCAGGCUCUAGGAGCUUGUUUCAACCCAUAUAAUGCUUUGUCUAACCUGCACACAAAAUUGGGAUGUUUUGGAUCCUCAAAGCCUGGCGGCUGUCUCAUGUACACCUCUUCUUCAAGAACGUCAUGUAAAAACGUAUUCUGAACGUCCAACUGUCGUAGGCACCAUCCUCUGGCAACAGCUAUAGACAAGACCAAUCGAACCGUAGCAAUUUUUACAACAGGACUAAAAGUAUCUUCAUAAUCAAUUCCAUACCUUUGUUUAAACCCUUUUGCUACGAGCCGAGCUUUGUAUCUAUCAAUGCUUCCAUCAGACUUCCUUUUCACCUUGUAGACCCAUUUGCAAUCAAUGAGAUUUACACCUUGCUUGGGUGGAACUAAUCGCCAUGUUUUAUUUCGGUGUAAUGCACCAAUCUCCUCCUUCAUAGCUUGAGUCCAGCGAGGAUGACCAAGUGCCUCAACUAGGCCAUCAGGCUCUCCUGUCGAGCAAAAUCCUGUAUACCGAAUAGUACCAUCUGUAUACAUUUUGGGUUUGAAUAUUCCACGCUGCGAUCUGGUUGUAACUCGCUGUUGCCCGUCAGCCGUAGAAAAUCCGCCGUCCGCGGAUGGUCCGUCGUCCGUAGGAGACUCCGCAGCGAAUCCGGAGUCGUUCCCCCUUGGCGCUGAUGCAGGGGCAGCAGAUGAAGCGAGAGUAUCCGUUGGAGCUACGCCAGCCGGGUACGGCGUAUCCGCUUGGAAGCUGGAGCCGUCCGCCAGCGGAUCCAUCUGGCCUUCCGUGCUCCCCUGGCUGUUAACCAGAGAUGGCAAUCCAGUGCCUGAAACAGGAUCCGAUGCCUCUGUUUGAUUCCUGGAGACUUCCUGCGCAUCACAAUCAUCACUGAAAAAAUUGUUAUGAGGAUUAGAUAAUACCAUAUCAUCACUAUUUGCUUCCCCAUAGCUGGAACGAAGAUGUGAAGGAAGGAGUAAUAUUUCUUGACGGAGCCUUGCUCCAGCACUUUCAUGUAAAGCUUCAAAGGGGAACACUGCUUCAUCAAAUAUGACAUCCCGAGAGAUAUACACUCGCCCUGUCGAUAUAUCGAGGCACUUGUAACCUUUAUGGAGAGAACUAUAACUGAGGAAAGCACAUCGGACAGAGCGGAAAGAUAGCUUUUUAGCAUUAAAGGGUCUAAGGUUCGGCCAGCAGGCACACCCAACUGUACGAAGAAAGGAAUAGUUUGGUUGUUCACGACAUAGAAGCUCAAGAGGAGAUUGAUAAUCAGUGACCUUGCUAGGGAGGCGAUUUAUAAGAUAGGUGGCAGCAAGGAAUGCCUCAUCCCAAAAUUUCAAAGGCAUAGAUGCUUUAGCAAGAAGAGCUAGCCCAACUUCUACUAUGUGCCGAUGCUUUCUUUCAGCAGACCCAUUCUGUUGAUGCGCAUGGGGACAUGAGACCCGAUGGGUUAUCCCACUCCUUUGAAAGAAGGCGUUUAACUUUUUAUACUCACCACCCCAAUCUGUUUGCAUAGAGAGGAUUUUCUUAUCAAAUUGUCUUUCGACUAAUUUUUGGAAGUCUAGAAACACAUUGAACACAUCUGAUUUAUUUUUAAGGAGGUAAAUCCAAGUGUAGCGACUAAAAUCAUCAAUGAAGCUGACAUAAUAGGUGAACAUCCCAACAGAUGUAGGCGCUGGCCCCCAUACAUCGGAGUGGAUCAAAACAAGAGGAGCAGGAGCGGAAUUCUCAGAUGUGGAAUAAGGUAGCUGAUGACUUUUAGCUCUUUGGCAAGAAUCACACACUGAAUUGAUAGUAUUAUUGCUAAUAAAAGGUAGGUUAUGAUCUCUAAGAAUACGAGAUACUAUAGGAAAAGCAGGAUGUCCUAGACGACUAUGCCACCGUUCUAUCGUCGGUUUAACUGCGGCGAGGACUUCUUUGCUUGGGCUGCCAUCUGAGUUGUGCGGCACCAAGGGAUAGAGACCCCCUUCACAUCUUCCUCGAUGAAGAAUUUUCCUCGUUGCCCAAUCCUUGAUAAGGAAAAAGUUUGGAUGAAAUUCAACAAGAACAUUAUUGUCAAGGGUGAGGCGAUGGACAGAUGCAAGAUUUUUAUGUGAGCUUGGAACAUGAAGAAUAUUUCUCAAGACCAGAUUGCGAGAGGGGGUUUGCAAAAUAGAAUGACCAAUAUUAUUAAUCCUCAUACCUUGGCCACUUGCAGAGUAUACUUGAUCUCGACCGCCGUACUUUUCUUGCACAGUCAGCUUCUCCAAAUUGGAAGUGAUGUGAUCUGAGGCGCCACUAUCUGCAUACCAAUUUGUAUCAAUCCCAUAUGCUGCAGCAGGGCUAGAGUUGGAUGUCUUGUUGCUGUUCGCUUGAUUGUCAUCAUCGUAUCUAUACCAACACUCUCUUGCUGUGUGAUUUGGCCGAUCACAAAUUUGGCACUUUGGCUUGUUGUUUCCCUGGCCGCCACUCCUAAAAGAUUGACGAGCAUCAUCGGCACCACCAUAGCUUCGGCCUCCACGAUUUCCUCCACAGCCACGGCCAAAGUUCCCACGACCACGUGGGUUAUAACCACCACCGCGACCUCUGGAUGCAGAAUUGGCAGACGACAUGUACUGGCUGCCAGAGUUGUCACGCAACAUCUCCAGCCUUGUUUCAUAUGCCAUCACCUGAGCAUAUAAUUCGCUCAAAGGAAUCUGAUCAGACCCAUGACAGAAGUAACAAUAGGAUUAUACUCACUGUCCAAGCCAGAAAGAAUGAAAGAUAUCAUCUCAUCGUCUUCUACUUUCUUCCCAGCGCCGGCAAGCUCGUCGGCGAGUGCUUUCAUCUUGUUGAAGUAGACUGACUUCGUCAUGCUUCCCUUCUUGAGAGUUGACAAUUGCAUCCGUAGAUGAGUCACUCUUGCUCGGGAUUGGGCGGAAAACAUAUUUUCCAGCGCCGCCCACACUUCUGCAGAUGAGGACAGGGUUGCAACCUGUCCGAGCACGUCCUUUGUAACUGAGUUGAAUAGGAACGCGAGAAUUUGCUGGUCUUGCGCCAGCCAUGAGGAAUAUGCCGGGUUGCUGACAAUCUCCUUGGAUUUGUCCUCCCUGACGAUCUCCAGAAACUCAGAUGGGGCUUUGACGGAUCCCUCUAGGAUUCCCAAUAGCUGCGCCCCUCUGAUGGGUGGAAGAACUUGCGCCUUCCACAACACGUAAUUAUCUCUGGUAAGCUUCUCGGUGACUUGGGGACCAAGCGGCGCCAAUGCUGUCGCCGAGGAAGAGGAUGUCGCCAUGACGUCGACGCUUCUUAGAUGAAGAUGGCUCUGAUUACCAUGUAAAUAUGUAAAGCUAUUUGGUAAACGUGGUUAGCAAACUCGCAUCCCACGGUUCCGCGUUUAUAUAGUGCCGGAGGCUGUCACAAUUACAUGGAGAUAGAUUACAGCUUGACUUUCAAGUACACGGUUAAACCUCCCUAUCUCUAACUGUCUUCUUAUCUGUUACAAGAUUGUUACAAUAUUCUACGUCUUUAUCUCAUGGAACUAGAUAGCUUCGUGCGCCUAAUCCUUGCUGUACGACGUACCUUGACAGGAUUGCCAUGCGCUGUACGUGAGCAGGUCUUUAACAAAGUCCUACACCAACACGUUUUCUUAACAGCGACCCGUCAUAACCAAGCUCGUUAAUACAAAAGAAACGUCAGGCGAAACAAAUGGACGCUAAGCCACACACCUGAACAAAUUUUACCCGAAAUUUGCAACACGUCAAGAAUGCUUAUCACUCAACCGUCUCACAUCUCUUUUGUUUAAGGAAACCAGGCUCGUUCCUACAAAAUGAACAGCUCUUUUAUGAUCCACAAUACUACUACUUACUAGUAUAUAGUAUACAUAUAAGAUCUAACUGUUCAUUAUUAUGGAUAAUUUAGUAAUUACUAUAAUGUAAAAAAUGAUAUUUCAAAUAGAAUGGUCUUUAAAACUUUCUGCUAGUAUCAAAAAUAAAAUUAUAGUGGUGCCAUUUGUGCUUCCUUACCAUGAUACCCUUAUACUACCUAUACUACUCAUGUAUACUAUCCAUACCACAGGCGUAGGUUUCAGUAGUAUGUAAUUAAUCUUGACCGUCGGAUAUGUUUAUACUAGUCAUUUUCAAACACAAGUAUAGUCUAGUGUUGUGUUCCGUAAAAGAGCUCAUAUAAUAUGUUAUAAAACUUAUUUGUGAAAGCUAAAGGCAACAACAGGGGAUAAAUUUCAGAAUAGGUAAGAACAGAAAUUUAAAAGGGCAAAAUUUGUUGAUGCAUGGAAAUGCAUAGAAUGCUUAUUACUCAAUCGACUCACAUCUCUUUUUUCUAGGAAACACAAUAAUUGUUGGAUACAAAGCACUUAUUGUUGUUCAUAGCAGCUGAGAUUGACUUACAUAUAUUUAUUUGCAAACAGGUGUGAAAUGUGAUACAAUAAUUCAGAAAGCUAGACAUCCUGAGCCAUGCGAGGGAUAAGAAGAAGCUUCUCCUUACGGUGCACAUCUAUCCCAUACGACUCUGACAUAUCGACGCCUGUCGACCCCGGCAGAAGCUCCCAGUUGAAGUGGUAGAUGAGGUUGGCAAGAAUGAUUUCGAAAGUGGCGGUGGUGAAGUUUAUACCCGGGCACAUCCUUCGCCCAGACCCAAACGGCAAGAAACGGAAGUCGUUCCCCUGGAAGUCAGAAGCAGCAUCCACGGCUUCUUCCAUGAACCGCUCGGGCAUGAACUCCUCUGCACUCUCCCAGUAGGUGGAAUCCCUGCCUAGAGCCCACGCGUUGACGAUUACACGUGUCCCAGAGGGUAUGGUAUAUCCCUCCACCUCCCAUUCGGCCAUGGACAAGUGGGGUAUCAAAAGAGGCCCGGCGCGUGUAGCCGCAUUGACUCUUUCAUCACCGCCGUCAGGUAGCUCAUGCCGCUCAGGUCUUGUUCAGUGACCAGUUCCUUCCCCUUGGUUGCGCACCCCCGCACCUCAGCUUGAAGCUUGGUCAUCACCUUGGGAUUCCGCAUCAGCUCAGCCAUGGCGUAGUCUAGUGCUAUGUAGGUUGUGUCCGUCCCAGCUUCAAACAUGUCCUACAUGAACAUAUCGGUAAGUAGAACUCCAAAUUUAACCAAGCUAGUCCAUGAAACGUCUCAUAUGUACCUCUCGUGAAAAAUAAACAUACCAUCAGUAUCGCCUUGACGUUGUCUCUGGUCAGGCCGUAUUCUUGUUGAACGGAGAGCAGCACAUCGAUGAAGUCCUCCUCGUCCUCACCAUCGACCGGCUUGGUCUUGUGCUUGUCGAUGAGGCUGUCCAAAAGGUCAUCCCAUAUCUUCCUGUGCUUCACGGCCUUGGCCGAUACCAAGUCCAACCUCGCCAAGCUCGGGAAAUAGUCGUCCAGGUUAAAUCCCCCCAGGAGCUUGGCGUUCGUCUCUAACAGCUCCCGGAACAGCUGGUUCCGACCUUGUUCCCUGGGGAGCCUGCCCGUCACGGCCUGGCACACGAUGUCAUUGGCGAAGAAGCUGAAGAGCUCGCUGACGUCGACCGCGAUGCCCAUGGCGGCGGCGGCCAUAGGAGAGACCGGGAGAAAAGAAGUGAAGUAAGUUGCGUGCGUGCCUGACGGCGAGGAAGCACCUCCAUUGAGCCACGAGGUGGAGUACGAGGCAGAGGCGAGAUGGGAUGUGUUGGGGACAGACUCACAUGACGGAGAGCGGUGCAUCUCCUACCUACCAUCUGCCAUUGCCGAGGGCCUUUCACCGUGCACCACUCCGGUUCGCUCUUUUGCGUCGCUGGGAGGAAAGGGACCGCCGAACGUUGGGUGCCGCCACCGCUCCUGCGUAGUUCGCCAUGGCCACCUCCUCCGAGAGCGCCCACACCAGCGCUGCACCUCAUUCCAGGGAUGGGGCAGCCGCUGCUGGGUCACAUCCGCCCGGGGAUUGGGCCGUUGCUGGGGAAUAAGGGGGUGUUUGGAUGUUUAGGACAUCCUAAAAUUUAUAUCACAUCGAAUAUUCGGAGGCUAAUUAGAAGGACUAAAUAUGAGCUAAUUAUAAAACUAAUUACACAGAUGGAUGCUAAUUCAUGAGACGAAUCUAUUAAGUCUAAUUAAUCCAUCAUUAGCACAUGUUUACUGUAGCAUCACAUUGUUAAAUCAUGAACUAAUUAGGCUUAAUAGAUUCGUCUCGCAAAUUAGUCUCCAUCUGUGCAAUUAGUUUUGUAAUUAGUCUAUAUUUAAUACUCCUAAUUAGUAUCUAAACAUUCGAUGUGACAGAAAUUUUAGGAGGGCCUAAAGAAACAAACACCCCCUAAGAGGAGCGCGGCAGAGAAGAAAAGGAGAAACAUAGGAGACGUGAUUGACAGGGACGGAGGAAAGAUGAUGAGUGCGUACGGUGGGGCGGGUAGGAAACACAUCGGUAAAAAUGGAAUUGGUUUUUUUGUAGAAACAUUUUCUAACUUGUGGUUUUUAUGGGUCUCCACCUUAUCCUCUCUCAAUUGCAUGAUAGGUGGGUCCGACGUGAGCGGUAAGGUGGUUCUGGUUUGGGUGAGAAAGGUUUUCAAUUCUUAUGGAAAAAGGCUUCACGGAGGCUCAAACACAAUGAGGUUUGAGCAGUCCUUGCAAUUCAAUUCCAAAGAAAUGAACAUAUGUUUACAUCGGGGUAGGGCUCUCCUUUUAUAGUGUCUCGGAGGACAUUUUGCAUUCCGCAAUUACCCUCACUCACCCACUACAAUCCUACAAUAUGCUUUACAUGGAGCUAACUUGUAUAACUUGGUCUCCUCCUUGGAUCACGCUUCUCACGCCUUUAGUCAGCUCCAUGAUUCACGCUCUCACAUGGUUCCACAAAUCACGCCUUCACAUUUCCAACGCCUCCACGCUUCCUGACCUCGUGACCGAAGCCAUCUUAGCUUCGGGAGUCAUGAUCGCCAUAGAUUCGCACCUAAGAGACGCUAGCCUCACGCCCUGCUCCUUGACCUGAUUCAAUGAUCCUGCAUGAGACACUAAAUAACUCGGCACUCAAGGUUAGCUUCGACUGCUCGAGUUCAAGCUUGGUUAGUGUCUGGCGAUCUGCGAUUGCCUCCAGGCUUCGAGGUAAGAUUCAGGAUAGCGAGGCUAUGAUUACUUUCCACGCCAGAUUAACCACCCAGGGUUAGGGGCCCUCACCCGAGGUUAAUUUUUUUGAGGGGCUAAGCUGUUGACGCUAAAUGUAAUGACCUCGAGGGUGACCAUCUUUUUGGGCGAUCCCCAACAGUAGCCCCUCAUGGGCAAGGCUCGACACUGACUACCGAACCCACGACUUAAGGAUCUGCUCCCAGAAAACGUCACUCUCGAGCAUCGGUUAGAAAUGAGCCAACAAUUACCUUUUUGUUCUUACGUGUCGAUUUCCUAUUGGGUGACCCUUCGUAUCUAGCUCGUGGUUACAGGUGCCAUUUACGCCUUUUACCAUGCCUAUAAAAGAGGGGGGUGGGGUCGCUUUCGUUUUUACCCUCGUGGCUGAAACACUUGCGCUCCUGCUUUUGCUCGCUGCUUCCGUGCUUUAAGAUUCAUGCAUUAUAUGUUGUUGUCCUUGGUCUCGAGGAUCUCGAAGGUAACAAUGUUACUUGUGUCUCUCUGAUAGUGUGAGAUUUUCCCUUGGUUUUCAUUUUGGAGAUGAUGUUUCGAUGCCUUGCAGCUGGCUCGUAUUAUGCAAACCGCUAGGCCCAUGACAUCAGAAGAGUUCACUAAACAAGCUGGGCUUCGCAACAAGGCUGCAGAGGACAAGGAUUUGUACAAGGCCGACGAUAAGCAAGGAAUCAAGAGGAUUGAGCUUUCUUAUGCCCAGAAGAAUAGGUGGGAAGACAAUUGGCUAAGCUACUAGUUCUAUAUCAAGAUUGACACGGCCAAUGCGUCUGGUAUCAACCAACCUUUCUAUCCUUCUAUGCACCCCUGGGCCCUAUGGACAUUGCUACUACCCCUGCAUUUACAAGGUCCAAGGCAGUCAAGGAUUGCAAGGGCGCUUUCCUCCCGGACUCGAAGUCGAUCCCCGGCUGGAUCUUGUUGAAGAGUUUUUGGCAGCCAACAUUUGGCCCCUUUCUGAUGGGUGGAGUCCAUUGGAGAUUGUGCCAAAACAGGUUCCGUGGAGUACUAGCCCGCUCCUCUACCCUUUCUUUGGAGUGGAGCUGCCUGUGGAUGCCAACCCGGUCUUUUUGCAGAGGAUGUUGAGAGGCAUGCUGUUGAUAUAAUUGGCCCGAUUACUGAGACUGAGCUGACAUUAGCUCAAAAGAUCAUUCCACACGAGCUUCGGGUCAACCGUGUGUUUGAGGAACUUGGGGUCGAUGUUAAGCCUCAUCCCAAACCUCGCAAGUCCUUGAAAUGGGCACGAGAGGCUGGCGUGACAGGCUCGGAAUAGGUUGGCGGCAGUGGCAGGUGGAAAAAGAUGAAGGCUGAGAGCACCGCUCCUAAGGCCGCGGCAGUGACUUCAAAGAAGGAUGACAGCCAAUCGAGGGUCGUGCUCGAAGUGCGAAAGCAAAAUUAAAGACCUCGAGCCUCAAAGCUCAGAAGAAGAAAAAAUUGGACAAAGUUCCUCAAGCGAGGCUGCAAAAUCCUCCGCGCCCCUGUCUCUAAAGCCGUCCGAGUUGCGACCAAGUCCGACCUCGAGGCUGCCGGCGCGCUGGCCGGUAUGAAAGAAAAGAAGUCUACGAGGAAGUCUCAUGUCGGCAAAGCCUUUGAUGAUGAUGAUGAUAUUGUUUUGGAUGUGGACUUGUCUAUGUUCCCUAUAUUGGUCCCCGAGGCUAGUGUUCCUUCAAAGGAGACUGAGACAAAGGUUACUGCACCCCCUCUACAGCACGAGGCCAAACCUUUGAAGGAGAAGAUCGUGGAUACCAUUGCUAAGGAGAUUAAGGCGUCUACUUCGAAGGUGACAAAGCCAGGUAAACAUGUCGUUGUACAUUUGCCUAGGAUGAGAUUUUUUGAUUGUGGUGAUACGUCAUUUAGAUUUCUGAUGGAGCUGGAAAAAACCACUGGUGCACCUGGGGAGAUAUACAGGCAACCUCCUCUAAUAUUUGGGGUAAAACCUUAUUCUGCAGAUUCUGAACUGUCACCCUCUCUAGAACGUUACAACGAGGCCUACGGCACCAACCUUAGACAGGAGCUCAUUGCUGUUCAUGUGCCGGGUUUAGGUGAGGAUGAUAAUCGCUACAACCUACCCUUGUUGUGGGGAGCUAAGGAUGGGAUGCGUGGUGUAGAUAGAGCAGCCAAGGAGGUUUUCAAGAUGUCUGAGGGGGUUGUCGGUGAGGUUGGUGGGCAGGGAGAAAGGGAGGAAGGCGAGGUUAUCCCUACUCGAGGUCUUGGGAAAUCCACUGCGCCUUUUGAGGUUGAUUAUGAGGAAAAGUCUUUUAAUCCUGAGAGUAAGCGCUUGCUCCUUAGUUUGUUUUGUCUGUACUUAAUUUCUACUUUGCUAUGCUUUUACGUGCCUUUCUUUUGACAGAGUAUGAAAAAUCAGUUAGGCGUUUCGAGCAAAAGGACUUAGCUAGGAUAUCAGCUACCAUCGGAUACAAGGUAUUUUGUUCGACGCUUGCUAUUUGUUUCUUAUCUCUCUUUUUUUACGAGGCUUUUCAUUUUGGUGUUUCAAUUUUGCAGUCCAUCAUCCUUGGGAAGAUGCUAUGGAGAAGGCUGCGGCUAAGGAAAAGAGCAUGCUAGCCGAGAGCACGAAGAUGA
Molecule: long non-coding RNA, 18747 nt
Filed under: Setaria viridis
Lineage: Eukaryota; Viridiplantae; Streptophyta; Magnoliopsida; Poales; Poaceae
Description: long non-coding RNA (SVIR_LNC010009)
Source: RNAcentral